ACGGGUGAGUAAUGUCUGGGAAACUGCCUGAUGGAGGGGGAUAACUACUGGAAACGGUAGCUAAUACCGCAUAACGUCGCAAGACCAAAGAGGGGGACCUUCGGGCCUCUUGCCAUCGGAUGUGCCCAGAUGGGAUUAGCUAGUAGGUGAGGUAACGGCUCACCUAGGCGACGAUCCCUAGCUGGUCUGAGAGGAUGACCAGCCACACUGGAACUGAGACACGGUCCAGACUCCUACGGGAGGCAGCAUG
This 250-nucleotide ribosomal RNA is filed under the name uncultured bacterium. RNAcentral's name for it is "partial 16S ribosomal RNA". It matches the Rfam family "Bacterial small subunit ribosomal RNA", at positions 102 to 353 of the family's 1533-position model. The record is from RNAcentral.